RNAcentral lists this ribosomal RNA (250 nucleotides) under uncultured bacterium. Its description in RNAcentral is "partial 16S ribosomal RNA". It matches the Rfam family "Bacterial small subunit ribosomal RNA", at positions 524 to 773 of the family's 1533-position model. The record is from RNAcentral.
UACGGAGGAUGCGAGCGUUAUCCGGAUUUAUUGGGUUUAAAGGGUGCGUAGGCUGUUUUUUAAGUUAGAGGUGAAAUCCCGGUGCUCAACACUGGAACUGCCUCUGAUACUGGAAGGCUAGAGAAUAGUUGCUGUGGGCGGAAUGUGUGGUGUAGCGGUGAAAUGCUUAGAGAUCACACAGAACACCGAUUGCGAAGGCAGCUCACAAAGCUAUAUCUGACGCUGAGGCACGAAAGCGUGGGGAGCAAAC